UGCCUUGGGGCUGCUCUAACGCUGUCACCCUCUGGAGGUGAGAGUGGCUGAGCGGUUCCCCUCGUCCCCCCCGCAUACCCUGCCUCCUCCCCUCACGGCCAGGAUCGGAGGCCCUAUCCCAGUGUGGGGGGCACUUCCCGCCCCCUCGGGUGCCCGGAGCAGCCCCCUCACCUGGCUCUGUCUCCCCUCAGUGGCCCAUCAGAGAGCAGCAGCCUGCCCCCGAGGAAGCCGAGGACCCAGCCGCCCGGCGUCUCCAGCCCGGCGUCCCCUGGGCAGAUGCCCCAGCAGCAGGAGUCCCUCCCCCCGCCGGUCUCCAGCCCCCCGGCCCGGGAGCCCAGCUCGGCCCAGAAGCCCAGCAGCUUCCUCUUCCGCUCCUCGUCGCGGACCGCCAUCAAGCCCG
This is a long non-coding RNA of Terrapene triunguis (Three-toed box turtle), 400 nucleotides long. RefSeq lists it as uncharacterized. NCBI's taxonomy places the organism in Eukaryota, Metazoa, Chordata, Testudines, Emydidae. The record is from RefSeq and is a predicted model, not a curated record. The transcript is spliced from 3 exons.